ACCCACGGCGGGGCGGGCACGCUCCUUAGGGCUGCUUUCCCGGGCGGUCGCCGUGCCACACCCAGUCCUGUCCCCGGGCGCGGUGGCCACGGGCGACUUGUCUUGAGGCGCACCCACGCCGUGCCGGGCCUGAAGGGCACCGCGCCUCCUCGGCCGCCGAGAGUCGCUCGGCGCUGCCCUUAGCAAAGAUGGCCGCGCCCCUCCUCCCGCUCCAUCCCUAGCCCGGCCGGUCCCGCAGCCGCUGGAUGCUCAGCGGCGCGUCCCCGCCGCCCAAGACAGCGCUCCCUCCCGCCGCACCAGCUCCUGGCGCUCCCGCCGCCGCAUGGCCGAGGCUGCCGGCUCUGCGGGCCGCCCCGCCGCGGGCAGGUGCGGGGCGAGCGGCGCGGCGGCGGCCCGAGCCCGCUGGCGGCUGCUCGGACAGGUCCUGAGGAAAAAGCACUUGAAAGAUGUGCAUCUCCAACAAGUAUCUGUCAGAAGGUUUGCAUCAUUCAAUCUCUUUUCAAUAGAAGACCAGAACGCAGAAGAGGAAACUGGGACCUGGGUUCAGUAUAGAAGCAUCUUUUAUCCCAAGUACAGUGUCUCCUUAAGAUUUCACAAUGGCCUCUUAAAUGUUAAAGAUGUUCUUACAAGUUUUGACAACACGGGGAAUGUCUGUCUCUGGCCAUCUGAAGAAGUGCUGGCUUACUACUGCCUAAAGCAUAAUGAAAUAUUCAGAGACCUUGCUGUGUGUGAGCUAGGGGGUGGCAUGACAUGCUUGGCUGGGCUCAUGGUUGCUAUUUCUGCAGAUGUCAAAGAAGUUCUGUUAACUGAUGGAAAUGAAAAGGCCAUCAAAAAUGUAAAUGAGAUAAUCACAAGAAACCAAAAUGCUGGAGCAUUUAAGGCUCAGAAGGUGUCAAGCUGCAUUUUACGAUGGGAUAAUGAGACAGAUGUCUCUCAACUGGAAGGACAUUUUGACAUUGUUAUGUGUGCUGACUGCCUGUUUCUGGACCGGUACAGAGCUAGCCUUGUUGAUGCAAUAAAGAGAUUACUCCAGCCCAGUGGAAAAGCAAUGGUAUUUGCUCCACUCCGAGGGAAUACUUUAAACCAGUUUUGCAAUCUAGCUGAAAAAGCUGGUUUCUCUGUCCAAAGACAUGAAAAUUAUGAUGAACACAUUUCGAACUUCCACUCCAAGAAAUAUGUAAUACUUUUGUGUUGAUCAGAAGAGCACACGUAAUGUUGUCUGUCCCUAGCAGCUGGAAUUGUACCACUCUAAUUAUCAAGUUAUAAUUCUCUCUUACAAAAAGAAUUUUCAAAAUUAAACAGAAUUAAUAUAUCAGCCCAUCAAUAACUGCAUUACAGCCUUGCACUUAUGUAAGCUUCAGUUGAAAAAUGAAGAAAAAGAUACAUAUGAGGAAAACCUCCAUUACCCUUUUCUUCUCAUUUUAACCAAACAGACAUAGAAGAUUACACCUCUUUUUGUUAAGAUGGACUGCUGAAAAUUAUUCCAUGUAUGUGGAUGGUCAGGCAAUGUGGAAUGUUCAUUUUCCUCCAUUUAUGUCCCUGAAUCAUCAUUGGGGAAAUAUUUCUAAUCUAAACGCUGAGAAAGAUAUUGUGGCUCAUUUUGCAGAGUAUAAACACUGAGACAUCUUUUUUUUGGUAUCAUUUUAGAAGGUAUUUUUCCAAUUGUAUUCCAGCCUUAAAAUGAUUGGACUUCACAUGUAUGCAUUAACAAAGGUGUAGAGCUGGCUUCCUUCUCUUUUGUGCCUUUAAACUUGCAUGUACUUUGUUGAUCUCUUUAAAUGCUAUUUUGAGGUGUAUUUGAAAAUAUAUGGAUAAUAUACUAGGUGGGCUUAGAUAAUUGGUUGUAAAGAAGUGAAUGCAUUGACACUUAAUUAGUAAGGAAAUAGUUAUCUGAAGAUCUUCUUAAAGUGCACCUAUUGAAUGCUUGUAUUUUGCUGCCUUUUUUUUUUUUUUAAUUCCACUGUUGAUUUUUCAAUCCAUGAUUGAAAUGUCCACAUUUGCUUUAGUGUUGAAGGCCCCUUUUCUAUAUGUGUGUAUGUAUGUUUUUUUCCAGCAGGACUUUUCCUCCUGUAGAUGUAUAAGAAAUUAUGCAUCAGACAAAAGCCUCAUAAACUGACCAUUUGUCCUUUGGACACAAUAGCCUGCCCAGCCCCUCUGCUCCUCCUCUCCAAUUAUGUGUGAUUAGUCUCAGUGUGUUGUGUCAAGAAGGGGGAGUGUGCUGAGUGCUUAUUAUCUGUUUAGGUACAAGAAGAGCACAUUUAGGUUCUGACUAUGAAUGGAAAGUGAGUCUUUAUCAGGACUAAAAUCUAAAUGCUACUAUCCUAGAAAUUGCUUUCAAAAAAACAUGGUUUUUUUAAUAAAUUCCAAGAAACACUGUAAGAACUAAAGGAUUUUGUAAUGUAAUCAAACUAUCUCCCUUGAAUUAGUUUAUUUUGUGAUAUAUUUUGGCCCACAUAUUUGAUGUACACUUAAUGUGAUUUUUCUUGUACUAGAAAAGACAAAAAUCCUACAAAAAACCAGGAGCAGUAUCUGAUUUCUUAACAGUUUUACAGACUGUUUUAAUGACUUCUCAGUAGUAGUCUUUAAACCACAACACUUUUAAAAUGUUGAAAAAAGAGAGGCAGAGAGCAUGAUUGAGAGAGAUAGGUACUAGCUGCAAGCAAGUGUAGAGAAUCCUGCUGAAAUACAUUAAUUAAAAGAAUUGCAAUUUGACAAGAAGCAUUCUUCCAUAUUUACCUCAUUGGCCAGCAUGUAAACCACAAGCUCCUGAAAGUCUCUUGCUCUUCUGCUUCUUCCCAAAUAAAUUUCUUCACUGCCAGUUUGCACAUCCUUGUAUUCAGUACUUUUUAUGCUCCAUUAGAGCACCUAGAUGGAUCUCAGAAGGCAUAGGUCAAGUCGCAGUUAGAUCAUACAUUUCUUUCGCACAAAAACUUGAAUUGCAAUGCCAAGUGAUGGGCUAACAUCACAAUAACAGCAAUUUAUUCCUCUUUUGAUAAAAAGCAGCCUAUUCUCGGUGUUAGAUAAAGACCAGGGGCAAUGCAAACCAACCAUUUAUCCUAGAACUGAGCAGUAUAGCUGGUAUGAGUUUCAUAUUCAAACUCCUGUUGGAAAAUACUUGUGCAGUAAGAAAUCAAAAGCAUUUAGGAGUAAUUUGAAAUUGCUGUGAAGAUGGCUUUAGUGUAAUUAGUUUUGUUUUGUUUGUCCCACACAGCAGUGCCUUUGUUUCUCUAAAAGCAUGUAGAAGGAAAUCUUCAUCAUCAACAAAGCAGUGUGGAAAAUAGCGCAAUAUUAAAAUUUGCAAACCUUUUAUUUUUGAGAGGACUUGAAUGUCUGCUGUACAAUAAUCUAAUAAAGAUUGUUAGUGGCCAAAAAUA
This is an RNA transcript of Serinus canaria (Common canary), 3374 nucleotides long. It is a transcript of the gene named calmodulin-lysine N-methyltransferase, with no coding region annotated. The transcript is spliced from 12 exons. The record is from RefSeq and is a predicted model, not a curated record. Lineage: Eukaryota; Metazoa; Chordata; Aves; Passeriformes; Fringillidae.